This 494-nucleotide ribosomal RNA is filed under the name uncultured bacterium. Its description in RNAcentral is "partial 16S ribosomal RNA". It matches the Rfam family "Bacterial small subunit ribosomal RNA", at positions 28 to 507 of the family's 1533-position model. The record is from RNAcentral.
GACGAACGCUGGCGGCGCGCUUAACACAUGCAAGUCGAACGGAAAGGCCUGCUUUCCCUUGUGGAUUGCGGGUACUCGCGUGGCGAACGGGUGAGUAACACGUGAGUGAUCUGCCCCCAACUUGGGUAUAAGCCUGGGAAACUGGGUCUAAUUCCCGAUAGGACUGCAGGGUGGUGCCUGUGGUGGAAAACGAUUUUCUAGUGGUUGGGGAUGAGCUCGCGGCCUAUCAGCUUGUUGGUGGGGUAAUGGCCUACCAAGGCGGCGACGGGUAGCCGGCCUGAGAGGGUGGACGGCCACAUUGGGACUGAGAUACGGCCCAGACGCCUACGGGAGGCAGCAGUGGGGAAUAUAGCACAAUGGGCGGAAGCCUGAUGCAGCGACGCCGCGUGGGGGAUGACGGCCUUCGGGUUGUAAACUCCUUUCGACCGCGAGGAAGCCACCUGGUUGGAAGGGUGGUGACGGUAGUGGUAGAAGAAGCACCGGCUAACUACGUG